CACUUCUAAGGAAGGCAGCAGGCGCGCAAAUUACCCAAUCCUGACUCAGGGAGGUAGUGACAAGAAAUAACAAUAAACCGGCUUAUGCCGGUUUAAUUGGAAUGAGUACAAUUUAAACAUCUUAACGAGGAACAAUUGGAGGGCAAGUCUGGUGCCAGCAGCCGCGGUAAUUCCAGCUCCAAUAGCGUAUACUAAAGUUGUUGCAGUUAAAAAGCUCGUAGUUGGAUUUCUGUGGGGACGGAGCGGCCGGCCGCAACACGCGGUUCGAGCUAGCGCUUUCCCUACAUCCUGCCGCGAACCGUGCUACCAUUAAUUUGGUGGCGCCGGGGAUCGGCUCGAUUACUUUGAGAAAAAUAGAGUGUUCAAAGCAGGCCACAUGCCUUGAAUAAGUUAGCAUGGAAUAAUAACUAAGGACUUCGGUUCUAUUUUGUUGGUGUUCGGGACUGAAGUAAUGAUUGAUAGGGACAGUUGGGGCGGUCUGUAUUCCAAAGCGAGAGGUGAAAUUCUUAGACCUUCGGAAGACAAACAGCUGCGAAAGCGUUCCGCAAGGAUGUUCCCUUUGAUCAAGAACGAAAGUUGGGGGAUCGAAGACGAUCAGAUACCGUCGUAGUCUCAACUAUAAACUAUACCAGCUAGGGAUCGGCCAACGUUAUUUAAACCGACUUGGUCGGCACCUUAUGAGAAAUCAAAGCAUCUGGGUUCCGGGGGGAGUAUGGUCGCAAGGCUGAAACUUAAAGGAAUUGACGGAAGGGCACCACCAGCCGUGGAGCCUGUGGCUUAAUUUGACUCAACACGGGAAAACUUACCAGGUCCAGACAUAGUAAGGAUUGACAGAUUGAUAGCUCUUUCUUGAUUCUGUGGGUGGUGGUGCAUGGCCGUUCUUAGUUGGUGGAGUGAUUUGUCUGGUUAAUUCCGUUAACGAACGAGACCCCAGCCUGCUAAAUAGCGCGCGUGAGCUUUGCUCGCGGCGAGCUUCUUAGAGGGACUAUGAUGCGCGAUAGCACAUGGAAGUUUGGGGCAAUAACAGGUCUGUGAUGCCCUUAGAUGUUCUGGGCCGCACACGGGCUACACUGGCGCCUGCAACGAGCAUAUCAGCUGGCCCGAGAGGGUCUUGGCUAAUCUUUUGAACCGGCGCCGUGCUUGGGAUUGACCUUUGCAAUUGUUGGUCAUGCAACGAGGAAUGCCUUGUAAACGCGAGUCAUCAGCUCGCAUUGAAUACGUCCCUGCCCUUUGUACACACCGCCCGUCGCUCCUACCGAUGAAUGUUCCGAUGAAAUUUUCGGAGAGCACCUGUGAACUUGGCUCUGCCUUGCGAACGGGAGGCUCAAAGUCACUUAAAUCUGAACAUUUCGAGG
This 1355-nucleotide ribosomal RNA is filed under the name uncultured marine eukaryote. Its description in RNAcentral is "SSU rRNA". It matches the Rfam family "Eukaryotic small subunit ribosomal RNA", at positions 411 to 1779 of the family's 1831-position model. The record is from RNAcentral.